UACGUAGGGUGCAAGCGUUGUCCGGCAUUAUUGGGCGUAACGAGCUCGUAGGCGGUUUGUCGCGUCUGCUGUGAAAACCCGAGGCUCAACCUCGGGCCUGCAGUGGGUACGGGCAGACUAGAGUGCGGUAGGGGAGAUUGGAAUUCCUGGUGUAGCGGUGGAAUGCGCAGAUAUCAGGAGGAACACCGAUGGCGAAGGCAGAUCUCUGGGCCGUAACUGACGCUGAGGAGCGAAAGCGUGGGGAGCAAACAGG
Molecule: ribosomal RNA, 253 nt
Filed under: uncultured bacterium
Lineage: Bacteria
Description: partial 16S ribosomal RNA
Rfam family: Bacterial small subunit ribosomal RNA
Source: RNAcentral